RNAcentral lists this ribosomal RNA (1282 nucleotides) under metagenome. RNAcentral describes it as "bacterial LSU rRNA". It matches the Rfam family "Bacterial large subunit ribosomal RNA", at positions 899 to 2164 of the family's 2925-position model. The record is from RNAcentral.
GGGGUAGAGCACUGUCUCGGCUAGGGGGUCAUCCCGACUUACCAAACCGACGCAAACUCCAAAUACCAAGAAGUGUUAGCACGGGAGACAGACUGCGGGUGCUAACGUCCGUAGUCGAAAGGGAAACAACCCAGACCGCCAGCUAAGGUCCCAAAUUAUGAUUAAGUGGGAAACGAUGUGGGAAGGCUUAAACAGCUAGGAGGUUGGCUUAGAAGCAGCCAUCCUUUAAAGAUAGCGUAACAGCUCACUAGUCGAGUCGGCCCGCGCGGAAGAUAUAACGGGGCUAAAUCAUAAACCGAAGCUGCGGAUAGAUAUUUAUAUCUAUGGUAGAGGAGCAUUCUGUAAGCCGUCGAAGAAGGACUGAGAGGUUCUUUGGAGGUAUCAGAAGAGAGAAUGCUGACAUGAGUAACGAGAGAUAGGUGAAAACCCUAUCCGCCGAAUGACCAAGGUUUCCUGUCCAACGCUAAUCGGGACAGGGUAAGUCGGCCCCUAAGGCGAGGGCGAAGGCCGUAGUCGAUGGAAAACAGGUUAACAUUCCUGUACUUCCUAUUACUGCGAUGGAGUGACGGAGAAGGCUAGAUCAGCAGGGCGAUGGUUGUCCCUGUUUAAGGCUGUAGACUUGUAUUUUAGGUAAAUCCGGAAUACUUUAAGUCGAGAUCUGAUGACGAUUGAUUUUUUAAAUCAAGAAGUGAUUGAUGCCACGCUUCCAGGAAAAACUUCUAAGCAUAAGUAGUAGGGAACCGUACUGCAAACCGACACAGGUGGUCAGGUAGAGAAUACUAAGGCGCAUGAGAGAACUUGGGUUAAGGAACUAGGCAAAAUGGUACCGUAACUUCGGGAGAAGGUACGCCUCUAUUACGUGAAAGAACUUGCUUCUCGAGCGGAAAGAGGUCGAAGAUACCAGAUGGCUGCGACUGUUUACUAAAAACAUAGCACUCUGCAAACACUAAUGUGGAAGUAUAGGGUGUGACGCCUGCCCGGUGCCGGAAGGUUAAUUGAUCAGGUUAGUCCUCGGACGAAGCUUGUGAUCGAAGCCCCGGUGAACGGCGGCCGUAACUAUAACGGUCCUAAGGUAGCGAAAUUCCUUGUCGGGUAAGUUCCGACCUGCACGAAUGGCGUAACGAUGGCCACACUGUCUCGACCCAGGACUCAGUGAAAUUGAAUUUGCGGUGAAGAUGCCGUAUACGCGCGGCUAGACGGAAAGACCCCGUGCACCUUUACUAUAGCUUCACACUGGACUUUGAAUUUAUAUGUGUAGGAGUAGGUGGGAGACUUUGAAACC